CGCAUUAUGCAAGAGUAUGGAAAAACCAAAUCUCUGACAGAUGCCACCAGAAGACAGAUGAUUAACAUACUUGCUGCUGAGAUGACAGAAACACAUGGGACAUCCCCCCCAAAAGUGUUAGAGUGAUGUAUGCACAGGGGAUAGUAACCUUGUUUCCCUAUCUAGAAGACCCAUACUCACAACAUGGAUAUGAACAUUACUACGAUCCGGAGAGUGGUUCGGGAUACCUUGCAUGGCGAUUGAAGACCAUACAGAGAAAAUCAGCAGAGGAAAGAGGUGCCUCAGUCAGCAAAUCUCCUAAAGUUGGUGGGCCAGGCCGUGGUCGUCAGCCCUUCGCCAAUGAUAGAGAGCUGUCUGAUGAGGAUGUGGAAGCAGCUAUUGCUGUUUUAAAACACUCUUCUGAUGAAAAGACUGU
Molecule: long non-coding RNA, 415 nt
Organism: Etheostoma spectabile (orangethroat darter)
Lineage: Eukaryota; Metazoa; Chordata; Actinopteri; Perciformes; Percidae
Exons: 4
Source: RefSeq, a predicted model, not a curated record